CCUACGGGUGGCAGCAGUGGGGAAUAUUGCGCAAUGGGCGAAAGCCUGACGCAGCGACGCCGCGUGAGGGAUGAAGGUCGUCGGAUCGGAAACCUCUGGCAGCAGGGAAGAACGGUCACAGGGCUAAUCAGCAGUGAAUUGACGGUACCGGCAAAGGAAGCACCGGCGAACUCCGUGCCAGCAGCCGCGGUAAUACGGAGGGUGCGAGCGUUAAUCGGAAUUACUGGGCGGAAAGCGCUCGUAGGCGGUAUGUCACGUCAAGGGUGAAAUCCCCGCGCUCAACGUGGGAACUGCCUUGGAAACUGGCAAACUGGAGUGUGUGAGAGGCUAGUGGCAUUCCCGGUGUAGGCGU
This 352-nucleotide ribosomal RNA is filed under the name uncultured bacterium. RNAcentral's name for it is "partial 16S ribosomal RNA". It matches the Rfam family "Bacterial small subunit ribosomal RNA", at positions 338 to 682 of the family's 1533-position model. The record is from RNAcentral.